GGAAGGGGAAGAGGGAAAACAAAAAAGUGGGUUGUGGUUGAAUGAUGAUGGUGGUGGUUUAAGUAAUAGUAAUCUGGGUUGUGGUAAUGAAGAAUAGAGAAGAGAAGUGUUUAUGGGUUGUGAUACUUGAGUAAAAAUGAAGAAAGUGAUGAAGAGGAAGAGGAAGAAGGAAGGUGUUUUUAGGUUGUGGUGCUUGUGGGAAGAUGAAGAUGUGUUUAUGGGUUGAAUCCUUGUUGGGUUAUUUUUUUUCCUUUCUCUCGUGAUGGUUUGAUAAUGGUGAAGGUGAGGGUUUGUUGAUGAUGAAAGUGAGUGUUUAAAGAAGGUGAAUGUUUGAAUCGUUUGGUGCUGAUUGAUAGUUCUGAAAGCUGCUUUUUUAACAAUUUCUCAUCUCUUA
This 394-nucleotide long non-coding RNA is filed under the name Trifolium pratense (red clover). Its description in RNAcentral is "long non-coding RNA (TPRA_LNC012981)". Lineage: Eukaryota; Viridiplantae; Streptophyta; Magnoliopsida; Fabales; Fabaceae. The record is from RNAcentral.